Molecule: long non-coding RNA, 227 nt
Filed under: Mytilus galloprovincialis (Mediterranean mussel)
Lineage: Eukaryota; Metazoa; Mollusca; Bivalvia; Mytilida; Mytilidae
Source: RNAcentral
UCCAUUUUGCAUGCAUAACUGUCUUUUUUUUUUACUUGUGAGUAAUGAAAAUUAGAUGUCAUUUUAAUGCAGUAAAGUUGUAGAUUGAAAUUUACACAGAAUUACAGGUUAUUAAAGUCUGCAUACAUUCCAAUAGAAUACUUGUCAAUUGCACUGAAAUUCUUGUUUCCUUAUACCCACGAAAUCCACAAAACUUGGUAUCCAACAAAUGAUAAUGAAUCCACAGC